UCCUCCUUCCUUCCUUUUUAUCUCCUGGUCCUCCUGGUCCUGGUCCCGGUCCUGGUUGGAGCUGUGGUUCUGUGGAGGAAACAGAGAGUAACCAAGACUUCACCUCCUCCUGUAGAAGUGACCUAUGCUGAUGUCAACAUCAGACAGAAGAACAAGAGGAGAGAAAAACCUUCUGCUGAUCCAGAUAGUGUCUACUCUGGUGUGAGGACACACACUGCAGGCCCUGCUGAGGUCACUUAUGGCCAAGUUGAAAUCAGAUCUCAGAGACCUGCUGGCAGGAAUAAAGAGUAUCCAGUUGGUCCAGAUGUUGUGUACUCAUCAGUGAGAGCCGGAAAAUGAAGACAGACAGCUGGAGGAGCGUCACAUCUUUACCACCUGAAUCUUUUAUUUUGUGUGUAACUGUAUUCUGCUAGAAAUACU
Molecule: non-coding RNA, 420 nt
Organism: Maylandia zebra (zebra mbuna)
Lineage: Eukaryota; Metazoa; Chordata; Actinopteri; Cichliformes; Cichlidae
Source: RefSeq, a predicted model, not a curated record